GACGAACGCUGGCGGCGUGCUUAACACAUGCAAGUCGAACGGUGAAGGGACCGGUUUUUGCUGGUUCUGGAUGAGUGGCGAACGGGUGAGUAACACGUGAGUAACCUGCCCCCUUCUUCUGGAUAACCGCAUGAAAGUGUGGCUAAUACGGGAUAUUCUGCGCCUGCUGCAUGGUGGGUGUGGGAAAGAUAUUGUUUCGGUGGGGGAUGGGCUCGCGGCCUAUCAGCUUGUUGGUGGGGUGAUGGCCUACCAAGGCGGUGGCGGGUAGCCGGCCUGAGAGGGUGGACGGUCACACUGGGACUGAGACACGGCCCAGACUCCUACGGGAGGCAGCAGUGGGGAAUAGUGCACAAUGGGCGCAAGCCUGAUGCAGCGACGCCGCGUGAGGGAUGGAGGCCUUCGGGUUGUAAACCUCUUUCGCCAGUGAAGCAGGCCUGUCCCUUUUGUGGGUGGGUUGACGGUAGCUGGAGAAGAAGCGCCGGCUAACUACGUG
This 493-nucleotide ribosomal RNA is filed under the name uncultured bacterium. RNAcentral's name for it is "partial 16S ribosomal RNA". It matches the Rfam family "Bacterial small subunit ribosomal RNA", at positions 28 to 507 of the family's 1533-position model. The record is from RNAcentral.